This is a long non-coding RNA of Thunnus maccoyii (southern bluefin tuna), 3793 nucleotides long. RefSeq lists it as uncharacterized. The transcript is spliced from 3 exons. The record is from RefSeq and is a predicted model, not a curated record. NCBI's taxonomy places the organism in Eukaryota, Metazoa, Chordata, Actinopteri, Scombriformes, Scombridae.
UGGACAUACAGACAUAAUGAAGUGACAAAUACUUAUAGCUCAGGUCAAAGAAAACCUCUGUAAAAAUAACUGACCAUUGUCAGUCUUCCUAAAUUAAGGUUGUGUCAAUUUUGGAAAAUAUUCUUCUUUUUAUCAGUUUAUUAUUGUUUUACAUUUGGAUGACUAGUAGCCUUCAUUAUAUGUUGUUAUAAAAUAAAUGAGCAGAAAAACAGAAUUCAUUUGUGUUUUUGUGUGCAUGUGUGGGGGGAAAGAAGUCAAUAAUUAGGUUUUUAAGAAUAUAACAAAUUGAUUGUGUUACAGUAGAAGUAAGAUUAGCCUAUAGCAGAAUACUGUGGUGUUUCAUGGUUUGAGGUGGCUGCUGUGUAUUAGCUGGUGGUGUUUAUGCCUGCAGGCAGUCCUCGGUUGCCCAGGAAACACAGAUGGUGGAUGAAGGGCGCGCAUACAAAAGACCAUAAACCUGUGGCAGCAGCUGGAGACCGAGACCACUGAUUAAUUCAGGUCUGCGCAGUCCCGCUCAGUCAAAGACAUCGCUGUUCUGUUUAAUACCUUCCAUCCAUUUCCUUUGUCUCAGGGCUUCCGUCUCCACUUUAUCCUGUUUUCCCCGGACUGGACUCCCGUCAGUGCGCAGCUGUUGUUGGCUCUCAUCUGCUUGUCUCAGCUCUGCAGCCAUGUAGACGACGCUCCGCCGUGGCUCAUGUUAGUGCGUAUCGUGUAGGUCCAGAAGGCGACCAGUCUUUCACUGCAGGCGAAAUCCCUGCACACACACACACGGCGUGUGUUGGCGGGCUAGGAGGCUUGUUCCCAGCAUGAAGAAGAAGAAGAAGACGACGAAGAAGAAGAAGAUGUGAUUCCUAACACUCCUGUCGCUCCAUUUGAUGCUGCGGGACAGGUGCAUGUGCAACCUGGAGAUCACUGGUAACCUUGUGAUUCAUCUACAGGGCUGCUGACGUGUUACCGGUAUGGAGACUUGGAGGAUCCACAUGGGAACCAUCAUCUGGACAGGUUAUGUGUACAGGCUGGAUUAUCUUUAUUAAAAUCAACAAGAAGGUUCAAUUUCACUGUCACACAAUAUCAGUUUGAUAAAUAAUAUCACCAAAUCCUAUCUCAAAUGAUUGAUAUCUUGUAGUAGUGGGUGUAUUUUAGUCUUGUUUGUCUCUAGACUAGAUUAAAAAGCAGUAAGGAGAGAAACAAUAAAACCAAAGAACAAGUGAUCCCUGGGGUAGUUUGGGAGGACAGUUGGGUUGCGUCCCACUUUUUCUGCUGCUUUGUGUUGUGUGUUCCUCUCCAGUUACACUGAUGAGAAAGCAGAUCGGGACUCGCACCGGACCUCAUUGUACUCCUGACGGCAUCGCUCCAUCACCCUCUACUGUGUUGCCUCACAGGCUGUUACAGGAUCUCUCGUGUUUGAUGCCCGGUGCCAUUUCUGCUGUAUCUUCAGAGGAUCCAUGCUCAAGUGUCUGAGAUGACUUCUGCUGCUUUUGUGCGUCAGUGAAAUAGGCAUGGAAGAGUUCAUCACUGCUUUGUGUUCAUUGUUAGUGCGAUUCAUUUUUUUUAGCAGAGAUGUUUACCACAGGUGGUGUUUUGAGUACAGGAUAAUACGUAACAAUGUUCUUCCCUGGCUGUGAGUAAUACUAACGUCGCUCUAUCCGCUCCUGCGCUCUUUUUGGCUGAUCAAAAACACUGACGCUGCAGCUACCAAUCACCUCUCAUGCUUGUUUUUCUAGCUGCUGUCUGCAGUGACCUCUUCACACUGUCGCCUUGGUUACUCUGCCUAACACCUCACUCACUUCUCCUUGUAUAAGACACUUUAAAUUCACUAGAAAUGGUGUUUUAAUGGUGCCGCCCUGUCUGUUAACUCCUCACCAGACCCAGAACUGGAAAUCUCCGACAUUUCAAGCUUGUAAUGUUAGAAAAAAAACCUGCUUACACGCAUAUUGUAGUGUGAGAAUGACUAGUUCUCUCACAUUGUGACAAUCUGUAAUUAACACAGUAUGUUUACUUAGUUUGUGGUGUGAUACCAACUAUUUUUACAUGUACUUUAUACAGUAUGUACAGUGUGUAUUUUACUGUAGUGUGUGGGCGUAUGUGUCUGCGUGAGUGCAUGUGUGUGUGUGUGCGUGUGUGUGUGUGUGCAUGUGCUGUAUUUGUGUGUGUUUUUGUUCCUGUAUGUGUGCAUGUGUAUUCAUGUCUGUCUGAUAAAACAUAUAUAUAUAAAUAUAUAUCAUGGGCUUGAGUUAAAAGCUGCUUUUCAGUGAUUUUUCUCAUAGCUGCAAAUUUUUUCAAAAUGCCUGAAGCUCUCCUUUAAGACACUGAAUGUACCAGACAAGGGGCAAAAUAUUUCCAAAAGAUUCUUAGCAUUUGUUACAACCUCUCUGAAGUACCAGUUAGGUGGGGAUUCUUGUGGUUUAGAUAAUCACAAGAAUGUUGCUGAAAAUUAAUAGUGUGUAGUUUUCUAAAUGAGGCCUGCUGGCAUUAAUUAAAUUGUCUCAAUGCUUACAGCCCCAUCAUCUGAUACUCAAGCAAAUUACAGCAAAUGCUAAUAAUUAUGCGCAAGUGGUAUUUUACCCAGGUCUGGCUCGUACUAACAGAAUCUCACUAAUAUCUAACAAUACUAAUGUCUGCUAACAGUAAGAUGAUUACUAACCUGUACUCUGAAUGCUGAUGGCUGGCCUUGUUCUUUCUAACCCACUGACUAACCCUCUGCUUUAUGCCCGCAGUCUGAUGCACACACUCCUCUCUCAUGAUCCUGCAAUCCUUCUUCCCCAAAUGACCGAUUCAGAUUAAUUAUAACAGAUGAAAAUCAAUGAAAAAUGCUAACAUGUCAAGAAGGGUUUCAGGACUUGGGAAGGAAACUGUUAUUAACCACAAGAUGAAAAGAGGAGCAGAAAACAGCUGCCAAUAUCAGAUUGGGUUGACCACAUACUUAAAAAAAAAAAUCUGUCAUGACUGAUUAUCUGAUUUCAAAUGACUACUGUGUCAGACUUCACAAAGGCUAAAUUCACGUCCUCAGAGACCCAGCUUUGUGUCUCUGUCUGUGUGCUGUGUGGUCAACCUUUGCAGGUGAGUGCCUGGCUUGUUGUCACCACAGAUAAUGCAGUAAGACACAAGCCAAGCAAACCUCAGCUCCACUACUAACUCCUUAUGGUGUUGAUACUAACAGCGGUGAGGCUAUAAAGGUCCACCUGUUGCCCUUACUAACAUCUUUCGUUUUCUCUGACUAAAACUAUUUUAUUCUUGAUAUGUGUAGUCAAAUUAUUCUGUCUCUUUGUUCAGAUCAAAGCAUGCCCUGUUUCUAGUAUGUGCUUUUUUUUUUUUUAUCAAUGGGCAGUCCUACUGAGAACUAAGCCCUUUAACUCUUAACUGAUCAAUGGAAGUCCUUAUAAACAAGCUAGACAGUUUUGUGCUCUCAACAAGCAGCUAACCUCUCCUACAGUUACAGUAAAUUAACAUAUACUAACCAAAGGGCUUUUAAUAGCUCUCAGCAAACUAACAAACUAACCCACUAAUAAACUAAUAAUCUAACAAACUAACUAUAAUCACUAACUUUCUGCUAAGUGACAGAAUCAGUGGCACCCUGAAAUUGAGGAGUUGCAUCACUUAUUGAAUGUACUAACAGGAUUGAAUGUGCCUGUAUGUGUAAGUGUGUAUGAAAGUGAGCGCAAAAGAGAGAGAGAGAGAGGGAGAGGGAGUGUGUGUGUUUGUUUGUGUGUGUGUGUGAGAGAGAGUGUGAGUGUGAGUACAACUGUAAGCAAAUUCCAAAUUGGAUGAGUGACCUUGAUUUGUUCUGUUAAAG